RNAcentral lists this ribosomal RNA (35 nucleotides) under Mesomycoplasma neurolyticum. RNAcentral's name for it is "Mycoplasma neurolyticum partial 23S ribosomal RNA". Lineage: Bacteria; Bacillati; Mycoplasmatota; Mycoplasmoidales; Metamycoplasmataceae. The record is from RNAcentral.
UUUAAAUAAGUAAGAGUAUAUAGUGGAUGCCUUGG